Molecule: long non-coding RNA, 1064 nt
Filed under: Balaenoptera musculus (blue whale)
Lineage: Eukaryota; Metazoa; Chordata; Mammalia; Artiodactyla; Balaenopteridae
Description: lncRNA (ENSBMSG00010011580.1)
Source: RNAcentral
CCGGGUCUUCGCGGCAGCGCGGCGGGGCGGGGCGGGGCGGGGCAGCGGGCCGGCCCGCGGGGGAGGGGCCAGGGCCGGGGGGCGGCCCCUCGGUCCCCGAGGCCCCGCGACGAGACCCCGCGCCCAGCUGUCUCCGGCCGGCGCCCGCCCCGCGCGGCUGUGCUGCAGCCUCGACUGUCUCGGCGUGGGUCCCGGGUUCCCGCACGCGGGGCUCGGGACCCGCCCUGGGCCCGUGACCCCGGACCUACCCCGAGCAGGGUCCCCGUGCGGCCGCGGUGCCCGCCCCGGCAGCGCCCCCGCCGCGCGCGGAGCUGCAGGAGCGGGACGUCCACCGGCGGCUUCUGAGCGGCGGGCUUGGGAUUCUAGUCUCCUCCUUUGUGACUAUCUGGAGUUUCUAAGUUUUCUCUAGUGACCACUGUGGUGUUUUGUCAGUGAGGAAAGACGGGUUUUCUAAGGCGCCUGCAGAAGUUGAGCGGCCCGUCUCCGCAGUGCAAGCUGUCCUUUUCCACGCGGCGGGACUACUUGGUGCCAGGCCGGCCCCCGGCUCCUCCUCGGGCUGCCCCCGCCCCUGUCGGCCCCGCCCCUCCCCGCCCCGAGCCCCGCCCCCUCGGCUGCGGCGUAAACCCGGAGCGGCAGAUUUCCCACGGCGCCCGGGAGCCGGUAGUCGCCGGGCGGGAGCGCUGCCGGGGGCGGGGUGACGCAGCUCCGCUCUCCCCAUCUCUCCCCGUCCCCGGCGAGCCUCGCGGGGGAGCGCUGCGACCCCCGCCGCGGGCCCGGCCGCAAAAAUGGGUCAGGAUCCGACUGAGCAUGCUCGCCGGCUCGCGGCCGCGUCGGGCGCCCAGGUGGACCCAGCCGGGCCUCCGGUCGGGCCGCGCGGGGGUGGCGCAGGUGCGCGGUCCGGGAGCAGGCAUCCUUGACAAUUGCAUGAGGACACGAAGUUUUCACCUGCUUUUUCGAAGAUGAAGGCCUUGUCCUCACUCUCAGAUCAUUGCGCGGUGUCAGAGUCCAUUUUUUCUUCAGUUCUUCCUUCCUCUGAGACUCCACGUUCUCCAGGACCCUGCAGA